This 807-nucleotide ribosomal RNA is filed under the name Porina internigrans. RNAcentral's name for it is "SSU rRNA". It matches the Rfam family "Bacterial small subunit ribosomal RNA", at positions 347 to 1214 of the family's 1533-position model. The record is from RNAcentral. Lineage: Eukaryota; Fungi; Ascomycota; Lecanoromycetes; Ostropales; Porinaceae.
CAUAGCAGUGAGGAAUAUUGGUCAAUAGCCUAACGGCUGAACCAGCAACUUGGACGAAUGAAAUGUAGUAAUUAGCUACAGUAGUAACUCUGUUACAUAAAAUUCUAGAUAAGUGUUUGAUAAUGACAUUACUUAUCUAUAAGUCUUGACUAAGUCACGUGCCAGCAGUCGCGGUAACACGUGGAAGACAAGUGUUAUUCAUCUUUAACAGGUUUAUAGGGUACCUAGACAGCUAACCAAACCUACUUCAGGGACUAGUUAAGCUAGAGUUUUAUAGGAGGAGGUUAGAAAGGUAGGUGGAGAGAUGAAAUUCUUUGAUACCACUGUAACUGACAACGGCGAAGGCAACCUCUUAUGUAAAAACUGACGUUGAGGGACGAAGGCCGAAUAAGGAAACAGGAUUAGAUACCCAAGUACCCAAGGCAGUAAAUUAUGAGUGUCAUAGGUAAGUAUUUAAAUAUAUAAAUUAUUUAUUAUUUACGUAUAAAUGAAAGUGUAAGCACUCCACCUUAAGAGUAAUAUGGCAACAUAGGAACUGAAAUCAUUAGACCGUUUCUGAAACCAGUAGUGAAGUAUGUUGUUUAAUUUGAUGACCCACAAAGAACCUUACCACAUUUGAAUAAAUUUCUCAAACGGGAAAUUUACAGGAGUUGCACGGCUGUCUUCAGUUGAUAUCGUGAGAUUUUGGUUAGUUCCAUUCAAUCAACGUAAACCCUUACUUUAUUUAUUACAGAUAGAGUAGUUCGCCGCUAUAUUGGUUAGAUAAAAGGGACUAAGACAAGUCAUCAUGACCUAAAUAUUGUGGGC